This 408-nucleotide unclassified non-coding RNA is filed under the name fungal sp. RNAcentral describes it as "partial internal transcribed spacer region". The stretch from base 1 to 46 matches the Rfam family "Eukaryotic small subunit ribosomal RNA", at positions 1786 to 1831 of the family's 1831-position model. The record is from RNAcentral. Lineage: Eukaryota; Fungi.
AAGUCGUAACAAGGUUUCCGUAGGUGAACCUGCGGAAGGAUCAUUAACACGUUUCCAAACGUUUAAUACUACCAAACAACUGCGUGAACCUGUCUUCUCCCUACCAUCUUCUAUGCGUCAUUGCAUUAACACUCACUGUGGAUCGAUUGUGCGUAUCUCGGUACGACUUCGGAGUGGCAUUGACUAGCAGGCCGUUGAGCCAGCACAUAGAGUUUGAUUAGGCUAUUUUUUAUUCCACAGCUAUAUUUACCCCAUUCUUAACCGUCGGCUAGGGCUUCGGCCUCGACGUGCUAUUUGACUAAUGCUAACCUAUGUUGGGCAUUGAGCUUUCGGGCGAUGUGUUCCAGCCUUAGGUUGAGUUAUGUAUAUAACAAAGCACAACUCUUAGCAACGGAUAUCUUGGUUCUC